This 254-nucleotide ribosomal RNA is filed under the name Geminicoccaceae bacterium. Its description in RNAcentral is "partial 16S ribosomal RNA". It matches the Rfam family "Bacterial small subunit ribosomal RNA", at positions 524 to 776 of the family's 1533-position model. RNAcentral also lists the same sequence under 1 other name. Lineage: Bacteria; Pseudomonadati; Pseudomonadota; Alphaproteobacteria; Geminicoccales; Geminicoccaceae. The record is from RNAcentral.
UACGAAGGGGGCGAGCGUUGUUCGGAUUUACUGGGCGUAAAGGGCGCGCAGGCGGCCAUUAUUUGUCGAGUGUGAAAGCCCCGGGCUUAACCUGGGAACUGCGCUCGAAACGGGAUGGCUAGAGAUCGGGAGAGGAGCGUGGAAUUCCCAGUGUAGAGGUGAAAUUCGUAGAUAUUGGGAAGAACACCGGUGGCGAAGGCGGCGCUCUGGACCGAGACUGACGCUGAGGCGCGAAAGCGUGGGGAGCAAACAGG